UCUGGUCAGCAGUAGAAGCACUCGGGACGGACCGUGCUGCCCGCGAGCCACCACCGAUGACCAGC
RNAcentral lists this non-coding RNA (65 nucleotides) under Curtobacterium sp. ER1/6. Lineage: Bacteria; Bacillati; Actinomycetota; Actinomycetes; Micrococcales; Microbacteriaceae. The record is from RNAcentral.